GCAAGUCGUACGAGAACGCUCUAGCUUGCUAGAGCAAGUAAAGUGGCGCACGGGUGAGUAACGCGAGGGUAAUCUACCUUCGAUAGGGGAUAACGUUGCGAAAGCGACGCUAAUAUCGAAUAACAUCCAUAAGGCAUCGGUUUUUUGGAUCAAAGGUGGCCUCUACAUGUAAGCUACUGUUUGAAGAUGAGCCCGCGUACCAUUAGCUUGUUGGCAGGGUAAUGGCCUACCAAGGCAACGAUGGUUAGCGGGUCUGAGAGGAUGAUC
Molecule: ribosomal RNA, 267 nt
Filed under: uncultured bacterium
Lineage: Bacteria
Description: partial 16S ribosomal RNA
Rfam family: Bacterial small subunit ribosomal RNA
Source: RNAcentral